GGGGGAAUUUUGGACAAUGGGGGCAACCCUGAUCCAGCAAUGCCGCGUGUGUGAAGAAGGCCUUCGGGUUGUAAAGCACUUUUGUCCGGAAAGAAAUCGCGCUGGUUAAUACCUGGCGUGGAUGACCGUACCGGAAGAAUAAGCACCGGCUAACUACGUGCCAGCAGCCGCGGUAAUACGUAGGGAGCUAGCGUUGUUCGGAAUUACUGGGCGUAAAGCGCACGUAGGCGGCGACACAAGUCACACGUGAGAGCCCGGGGCUCAACCCCGGAACUGCCUUUGAAACUAGGUUGCUAGAAUCUUGGAGAGGUCAGUGGAAUUCCCAGUGCAGAGGUGAAAUUCGUAGAUAUUCGGAAGAACACCAGUGGCGAAGGCGACUGACUGGACAAGUAUUGACGCUGAGGUGCGAAAGCGUGGCGAGCAAACAGGAUUAGAUACCCUGGUAGUCCACGCCGUAAACGAUGAUAACUAGCUGUCCGGGCACUUGGUGUUUGGGUGGCGCAGCUAACGCAUUAAGUUAUCCGCCUGGGGAGUACCGUCGCAAGAUUA
Molecule: ribosomal RNA, 549 nt
Filed under: uncultured bacterium
Lineage: Bacteria
Description: bacterial SSU rRNA
Rfam family: Bacterial small subunit ribosomal RNA
Source: RNAcentral